UGACCUCGGAUCAGUAGAA
This 19-nucleotide ribosomal RNA is filed under the name Trichoderma polysporum. RNAcentral's name for it is "partial 28S ribosomal RNA". Lineage: Eukaryota; Fungi; Ascomycota; Sordariomycetes; Hypocreales; Hypocreaceae. The record is from RNAcentral.